GAGGAAUAUUGGUCAAUGGACGCAAGUCUGAACCAGCCAAGUCGCGUGAAGGAAGACUGCCCUAUGGGUUGUAAACUUCUUUUGUACAGGAAUAAAGUGCUUUACGUGUAGAGUUUUGUAUGUACUGUACGAAUAAGGAUCGGCUAACUCCGUGCCAGCAGCCGCGGUAAUACGGAGGAUCCGAGCGUUAUCCGGAUUUAUUGGGUUUAAAGGGUGCGUAGGUGGACUUAUAAGUCAGUGGUGAAAGUUUGCAGCUUAACUGUAAAAUUGCCGUUGAAACUGUAGGUCUUGAGUGCAAAUGAGGUAGGCGGAAUGUGUUGUGUAGCGGUGAAAUGCUUAGAUAUAACACAGAACACCGAUUGCGAAGGCAGCUUACUGGGAUGCAACUGACACUGAUGCACGAAGGCGUGGGGAUCAAAC
Molecule: ribosomal RNA, 420 nt
Filed under: uncultured bacterium
Lineage: Bacteria
Description: bacterial SSU rRNA
Rfam family: Bacterial small subunit ribosomal RNA
Source: RNAcentral